GAUGAAGAACGUAGCGAAAUGCGAUACGUAAUGUGAAUUGCAGAAUUCAGUGAAUCAUCGAAUCUUUGAACGCAUAUUGCGCUCUUUGGUAUUCCGAAGAGCAUGCUUGUUUGAGUAUCAGUAAACACCUCAAAGCUUUUGGAUUUUUUAAUCGAAAAGCUUGGGACUUGAGCAAUCCCAACACCAAUCUUUUUGAGAUCGGUGGCGGGUUGCUUGAAAUGCAGGUGCAGCUGGACAUUCUCCUGAGCUAAAAGCAUAUUCAUUUAGUCCCGUCAAACGGAUUAUUACUUUUGCUGCAGCUAACAUAAAGGGAGUUUGACCGUAUUGGCUGACUGAUGCAGGAUUUCACAAGGGUCGGCAACGAUUCUUGUUAAACUCGAUCUCAAAUCAAGUAAGACUACCCGCUGAACUUAAGCAUAUCAAUAAGCGGAGGA
This 434-nucleotide unclassified non-coding RNA is filed under the name soil metagenome. RNAcentral's name for it is "partial contains 5.8S ribosomal RNA, internal transcribed spacer 2, and large subunit ribosomal RNA". The stretch from base 1 to 120 matches the Rfam family "5.8S ribosomal RNA", at positions 35 to 154 of the family's 154-position model. The record is from RNAcentral.